This 173-nucleotide small nuclear RNA is filed under the name Meriones unguiculatus (Mongolian gerbil). RNAcentral describes it as "U1 spliceosomal RNA (ENSMUGG00000013061.1)". It matches the Rfam family "U1 spliceosomal RNA". Rfam says of the family: U1 is a small nuclear RNA (snRNA) component of the spliceosome (involved in pre-mRNA splicing). Its 5' end forms complementary base pairs with the 5' splice junction, thus defining the 5' donor site of an intron. The record is from RNAcentral. Lineage: Eukaryota; Metazoa; Chordata; Mammalia; Rodentia; Muridae.
CUGUUUACCUGGCAGAGGAGAUAACAUGUCCACAAAGGUGGUCAUGCUAUUUUCCCAGGGUGAGGCUUAUCUGCUGUACUCUGGACAUGCAGCCUCCUGCAAUUUUCCCAAAUCUAGGGAAUCUCAGCUGCCUAAUUUUUGUAGUAAGGGAAUUGUGCUCAUGCUCUUCCAGU